Molecule: ribosomal RNA, 577 nt
Filed under: uncultured bacterium
Lineage: Bacteria
Description: partial 16S ribosomal RNA
Rfam family: Bacterial small subunit ribosomal RNA
Source: RNAcentral
UGGGGAAUUUUGGACAAUGGGCGAAAGCCUGAUCCAGCAAUGCCGCGUGUGUGAAGAAGGCCUUCGGGUUGUAAAGCACUUUUGUCCGGAAAGAAAUCCUUGGCUCUAAUACAGUCGGGGGAUGACGGUACCGGAAGAAUAAGCACCGGCUAACUACGUGCCAGCAGCCGCGGUAAUACGUAGGGUGCAAGCGUUAAUCGGAAUUACUGGGCGUAAAGCGUGCGCAGGCGGUUUGCUAAGACCGAUGUGAAAUCCCCGGGCUCAACCUGGGAACUGCAUUGGUGACUGGCAGGCUAGAGUAUGGCAGAGGGGGGUAGAAUUCCACGUGUAGCAGUGAAAUGCGUAGAGAUGUGGAGGAAUACCGAUGGCGAAGGCAGCCCCCUGGGCCAAUACUGACGCUCAUGCACGAAAGCGUGGGGAGCAAACAGGAUUAGAUACCCUGGUAGUCCACGCCCUAAACGAUGUCAACUAGUUGUGGGGAUUCAUUCCUUAGUAACGUAGCUAACGCGUGAAGUUGACCGCCUGGGGAGUACGGUCGCAAGGUUAAAACUCAAAGGAAUUGACGGGGUCAUAGCUG